GUGAGGAAUAUUGGUCAAUGGGCGGAAGCCUGAACCAGCCAAGUCGCGUGAAGGAAGAAGGAUCUAUGGUUUGUAAACUUCUUUUGAAGGGGGAUAAAGUGCGUCACGAGUGAUGCAUUGCAGGUACCCUUGGAAUAAGCAUCGGCUAACUCCGUGCCAGCAGCCGCGGUAAUACGGAGGAUGCGAGCGUUAUCCGGAUUUAUUGGGUUUAAAGGGUGCGUAGGUGGCUUUUUAAGUCAGCGGUGAAAACUGGCGGCUCAACCGCAAGAGUGCCGUUGAAACUGGGGAGCUAGAGUAUGAACGAGGUAGGCGGAAUGUGUGGUGUAGCGGUGAAAUGCAUAGAUAUCACGCAGAACUCCGAUAGCGAAGGCAGCUUACCAGGCCAUAACAGACACUGAAGCACGAAAGCGUGGGGAUCGAACAGGAUUAGAUACCCGUGUAGUCC
Molecule: ribosomal RNA, 445 nt
Filed under: uncultured bacterium
Lineage: Bacteria
Description: partial 16S ribosomal RNA
Rfam family: Bacterial small subunit ribosomal RNA
Source: RNAcentral